Molecule: ribosomal RNA, 205 nt
Filed under: Actinomycetota bacterium
Lineage: Bacteria; Bacillati; Actinomycetota
Description: Actinobacteria bacterium partial 16S ribosomal RNA
Rfam family: Bacterial small subunit ribosomal RNA
Source: RNAcentral
UUCACGGAGAGUUUGAUCCUGGCUCAGGACGAACGCUGGCGGCGCGCUUAACACAUGCAAGUCGAGCGAGAACCAAUCCUUCGGGAUUGGGGACAGCGGCGAACGGGUGAGUAACACGUGGGUAAUCUGCCCUCGAUUCUGGGAUAGCCCGGGGAAACCCGGAUUAAUACCGGAUAGCCUCUCGAGCUUUCGGGCUCGUGAGAAA